GAUGAAGAACGCAGCGAAAUGCGAUACGUAAUGUGAAUUGCAGAAUUCAGUGAAUCAUCGAGUCUUUGAACGCACAUUGCGCCCCCUGGUAUUCCGGGGGGCAUGCCUGUCCGAGCGUCAUUGCUGCCCUCAAGCACGGCUUGUGUGUUGGGCCUCCGUCCUCCUCCCGGGGGACGGGCCCGAAAGGCAGCGGCGGCACCGCGUCCGGUCCUCGAGCGUAUGGGGCUUCGUCACCCGCUCUUGUAGGCCCGGCCGGCGCUGCCGACACAUCAAUCUUUUUUCCAGGUUGACCUCGGAUCAGGUAGGGAUACCCGCUGAACUUAAGCAUAUCAAUAAGCGGAGGA
RNAcentral lists this unclassified non-coding RNA (344 nucleotides) under soil metagenome. RNAcentral describes it as "partial contains 5.8S ribosomal RNA, internal transcribed spacer 2, and large subunit ribosomal RNA". The stretch from base 1 to 120 matches the Rfam family "5.8S ribosomal RNA", at positions 35 to 154 of the family's 154-position model. The record is from RNAcentral.